This is a long non-coding RNA of Diabrotica virgifera virgifera (western corn rootworm), 600 nucleotides long. RefSeq lists it as uncharacterized. The record is from RefSeq and is a predicted model, not a curated record. NCBI's taxonomy places the organism in Eukaryota, Metazoa, Arthropoda, Insecta, Coleoptera, Chrysomelidae. The transcript is spliced from 3 exons.
GCUUUUUAAGAAUAUUUUUUUAAUUCGGAUACUUUUAUAAUAGCAUUAAUAGUAUUAUUAACAUAGUGCAUAAAAUGGUGUCCUGUUUUUAACGCAGUUGGAGUAGCAGAAACAAAUGUAGAUAAAAAAUUCUGCAGGAAUAACGUUUCAAUUAUGUUAUGAGUCAUAAUAUGUUAUGUUUCAAUUAUGUUAUGACAGAAGCUCAAAACAAAUGACUGUGAAUCAUAGAAGAUGCUGUGAAUGAAAAGCCCUAUUAAAAGCUUUCCAGAAGAUCCUGCGAAGAAGACAUGAAGUAUAGAUCAGAUUUGUUAAUAGAGGAGUAUGUUCAAAACACUUUUUAGAAAAAGAUAUUUGACAGAACUUCACUUUCAUCUGUUCGUUUGAGAGACUGUGCUGUUCCAAUAGCUUAUGUCACACAGAAUCAGCUGAGAGAAGUGGUCUACAAAAAACCAGAAAGGAAACAGAAUAUGUGGCUACGAAAAGCAAAAGAAAGGUUUACAAAGCAAAUGUGACACAUUUUUUUAUAAUAUUUAGGAAUGUCAGCAAAUUACAUUAAAAAAUGUAUGUAAAGAUUUUUUGCAAUAAAAAUGUUUAUAUUUA